AGCAGCCGCGGUAAUUCCAGCUCCAAUAGCGUAUAUUAAAGUUGUUGCAGUUAAAAAGCUCGUAGUUGAAUUUCGGGAUUGACGUGAUGGUCGUGCCUUACGGGGUAUGAACUGUUGCAGUCAAUUUCUCACCUUCUGGAGAAAUAUGAUGUCCUUAAUUGGGUGUCAUAUGGAACCAGAACUUUUACCUUGAAAAAAUUAGAGUGUUUAAAGCAGGCUUAUUGCUCGAAUACAUUAGCAUGGAAUAAUAAAAUAGGACGGCAUGGUUCUAUUUUGUUGGUUUCUAGGAUCACCGUAAUGAUUAAUAGGGAUAGUUGGGGGCAUUAGUAUUCAAUUGUCAGAGGUGAAAUUCUUGGAUUUAUUGAAGACUAACUACUGCGAAAGCAUUUGCCAAGGAUGUUUUCAUUAAUCAAGAACGAAAGUUAGGGGAUCGAAGACGAUCAGAUACGUCGUAGUCUUAACCAUAAACUAUGCCGACUAGGAAUCAGACGAU
RNAcentral lists this ribosomal RNA (493 nucleotides) under uncultured Entrophospora. RNAcentral describes it as "SSU rRNA". It matches the Rfam family "Eukaryotic small subunit ribosomal RNA", at positions 569 to 1061 of the family's 1831-position model. Lineage: Eukaryota; Fungi; Glomeromycota; Glomeromycetes; Entrophosporales; Entrophosporaceae. The record is from RNAcentral.